CACCACUCAAGCCUGGCUUGGUGUUGGGCCCCGGGGGUGACCCGGGCCCCAAAGUCGUCGGCUGGAAACCCUUGAUCGCAGCGUCGUGAUUUAUCAAAUUCGCUGAGGUGAUGGGGGGGUCCGCGCCGUGAAACCCAUCAAAGG
RNAcentral lists this unclassified non-coding RNA (144 nucleotides) under uncultured Ascomycota. RNAcentral describes it as "sequence contains ITS2". Lineage: Eukaryota; Fungi; Ascomycota. The record is from RNAcentral.